RNAcentral lists this ribosomal RNA (305 nucleotides) under uncultured bacterium. RNAcentral's name for it is "bacterial SSU rRNA". It matches the Rfam family "Bacterial small subunit ribosomal RNA", at positions 338 to 641 of the family's 1533-position model. The record is from RNAcentral.
CCUACGGGACGCAGCAGUGAGGAAUAUUGGUCAAUGGCCGAGAGGCUGAACCAGCCAAGUCGCGUGAGGGAUGACGGCCCUACGGGUUGUAAACCUCUUUUGUCGGGGAGCAAAGAGAGUCACGUGUGACUCAUUGAGAGUACCUGAAGAAAAAGCAUCGGCUAACUCCGUGCCAGCAGCCGCGGUAAUACGGAGGAUGCGAGCGUUAUCCGGAUUUAUUGGGUUUAAAGGGUGCGCAGGCGGUCUGUUAAGUCAGCGGUCAAAGCCCGGGGCUCAACCCCGGCCCGCCGUUGAAACUGGCAGUC